CGAUUCCUUUUCAUUUUCAUUUGUUCUUUGCUUCUUUCUGUCUCUCCGUACAACAAUGGUAAGUUGUAUUUUACUUUAUAUUUUUAUUCUUUUUUUUAAAUCAAUCCAAUGUAUUGAUCUCUCUAUUUUUUUUUAAGAUUUUGACUUCAAUUUAAAGAAUUACAAUUUGAUCUUCAUCUCUGUGAGUUUGCUUGGAGUUUGUUUUCUUUUGACAGAUAAUCUUUU
RNAcentral lists this long non-coding RNA (225 nucleotides) under Lathyrus oleraceus (garden pea). RNAcentral describes it as "Pisum sativum (pea) long non-coding RNA (PSAT_LNC022744)". The record is from RNAcentral. Lineage: Eukaryota; Viridiplantae; Streptophyta; Magnoliopsida; Fabales; Fabaceae.